AAUAAAUUAGUAUAUUCCAGCUUAUCAAACUGCCCCAUAAUUCUGAGGGUGACCUCUUUAAAGAAGGUCAGGCAUUGAGUGAGACAGCUACAUUUGGGCAGAGGCAGGGUUUUACCAAGAACACUUUCAGUUCCUGUUUCCAAUUGAGCCUGCUCCCUGCCUGGGGCCUAGCCUGAUGUACAAGCCCAUUGGCUGGGCUUGCUUAAAUGUCCCACACAAAUAUAAACACCUCUACAGUGUGGGGAAGAUGAAAGGAAUAGCUUAUUGAUAUUGUAUAUGCUAACGUUUGGAUGUGGGACAGGAAAGACAGCACUGAGCUGCUGGUAUGCAACGCUGAAGCCGGGCGGCAUGGAGAGGUUUUCAUUUACUGAUGCUGGAUGCGUGCCCAGACUGCCAUAGUGGAAUGCAGGGAGAAACACAGAAAGGAGGAGGACCACAGAAUGGUUUUUCGUGAACAUCCAUGUGGGGCAGAAGAAUAAAUACAUAUGAAGGCUAUGUUUCUAGAAAUGAAAGAACUGGCCACUGAGGAGCAGUUGGGAGCCCCCCUGCCCCCGCCCCCCAAGUCCCAACCUGGCCCUCUUCAUUUGUACUUGAAGAGUCAACUAUUCCCGACUCUUGGCAUGCACCUCCUGUCGACUACCAUAUAUGAUCGAUUUACCCAAACAUCGAGAGUGAGAAAGUUGAAUGAUAGGAUCCCCAAGUUUCCUUCCAUCCACGAAGAUUUAAGCCUUCAAUUGCAAUCAGUUCCAGGAGUGCUCCCAGUAAUUAUGUCCCACGAUGUGAUGAAAUGCGUAUCUCUAUGUACUGAAUGAAGGCUAACUCUUGCAAAUUGAAGGAUGCAGUCGAUGCGAGUCUUUUUGCAAUAAACAUCAUUGUUUCAUCA
Molecule: long non-coding RNA, 883 nt
Filed under: Ursus maritimus (polar bear)
Lineage: Eukaryota; Metazoa; Chordata; Mammalia; Carnivora; Ursidae
Description: lncRNA (ENSUMAG00000001637.1)
Source: RNAcentral